GGGGGCGAUCGGUUUCGACGGGUCGUCGAGGUCGGGCGCCGCGUGUCGAGGUCGUAGCCACCUCGUUAAACAGCUGCAGUCCUGGUAGCUCAUAACUGCCGAUGACAACUACGCUCUCGCUGCCUAACUAACCCUUAGGAACUAGCGACAUCCGUCCAUGACGUCUCCUAAUGGGGCACGGAUGUAAUGAGGAGACUGGCUCCCGAGCGCUGCUCGGCCGUAUCCGGGAGCGAGAUCACGUCGAGCUAGGGUGUGCUUGGGCCGUCUCUGCUCCUGGCCCACCCGAAAUCAAGCGGAGACUACACACGUAGACGCGUCCGAAGGACGCGAUUCGGACGCGGGUUCGAUUCCCGCCGCCUCCACCA
RNAcentral lists this transfer-messenger RNA (365 nucleotides) under bacterium. Its description in RNAcentral is "JADJOR01 sp016713665 Standard tmRNA". It matches the Rfam family "transfer-messenger RNA". From Rfam's summary of the family: Bacterial tmRNA, also known as 10Sa RNA or SsrA, is named for its dual tRNA and mRNA-like properties. The record is from RNAcentral. RNAcentral also lists the same sequence under 1 other name.